Molecule: ribosomal RNA, 696 nt
Filed under: Triticum aestivum (bread wheat)
Lineage: Eukaryota; Viridiplantae; Streptophyta; Magnoliopsida; Poales; Poaceae
Description: partial small subunit ribosomal RNA
Source: RNAcentral
AUGAAGGCCGGCCGUGAAGACGCGGCGGUGGAGAAGGACGCAGCGGUAGAUGCAGUGGAGAAGCCUGUUGUGGUCAUUGCCUCCGCGGUUGGCACGGCCGAGGGCGCCGUCGCGGCGACGGGAGGCGGUGCACCAUCUGCUGUGACUGCACCGGCCGCCGUCGCAGCGGCCGAGCCUGCGGUCGGGGAGCAGGUGGAGGAGGAGGUGGCGGUUGAUCUAGAGGAGCAGAGGCUCAAGCGGAAGCGGGAGCAGUACGAGCUCAUCGACAGGAGCUACGAGGAGGCCCACCUCGACGCUCAGGAAGUGCAGGACGAGGCCGUCGAGUUCGACGAGGAGGUCGACGACGAGCUCUCGGAGGAAGAUGACGAAGACGUGGAUGAUAGUAAGGAGAGCAGGGACAGCAAGAGCCGCUACGUCCUCAGGAGGCUGCGGAAUGGGGAAAUCCCAUACUGCAGCGGAUACAACAGGCUCUAUGGCAACAUAGCCUGCCCCUUCUGCUGCGCGAUUAUCAAGAGCGACUAUGACAACCUGAUCAUGCAUGGCACCUAUAUCGGCCGUGGUAAUGGGAGGAACCGCAAGCCCUACGUCCGGGCUAAACAUGCCGCUUUUGGUGCCUUCCUCAGGAAGUACGCGAAGGGGCAUCUGCCAUUCUACCUCCCGAGGCCUCCUCGUCCGGCCAAGACGCCGAGGAUCUGA